UACAGAGGUCCCAAGCGUUGUUCGGAUUCACUGGGCGUAAAGGGUGCGCAGGCGGUCGGGUAAGUCUGACGUGAAAUCUUCAAGCUCAACUUGGAAACUGCGUCGGAUACUAUUCGGCUAGAGGAAUGGAGGGGAGACUGGAAUUCUCGGUGUAGCAGUGAAAUGCGUAGAUAUCAGGAAGAACACCCGUGGCGAAGGCGGCUCUCUGGGACGUGACUGACGCUGAGACGCGAAAGCGUGGGGAGCGAACAGG
Molecule: ribosomal RNA, 253 nt
Filed under: uncultured bacterium
Lineage: Bacteria
Description: partial 16S ribosomal RNA
Rfam family: Bacterial small subunit ribosomal RNA
Source: RNAcentral